GAGUUUGAUCCUGGCUCAGGACGAACGCUGGCGGCGUGCCUAAUACAUGCAAGUCGAGCGGACUAAUGGGAGCUUGCUCCCAGAGGUCAGCGGCGGACGGGUGAGUAACACGUGGGCAACCUGCCCUGUAGACUGGGAUAACACCGAGAAAUCGGUGCUAAUACCGGAUAAUAUUGAAGAUCUCCUGAUCUUGUAUUAAAAGAUGGCUCCGGCUAUCACUACAGGAUGGGCCCGCGGCGCAUUAGCUAGUUGGUGAGGUAACGGCUCACCAAGGCGACGAUGCGUAGCCGACCUGAGAGGGUGAUCGGCCACACUGGGACUGAGACACGGCCCAGACUCCUACGGGAGGCAGCAGUAGGGAAUCUUCCGCAAUGGACGAAAGUCUGACGGAGCAACGCCGCGUGAGUGAUGAAGGAUUUCGGUUCGUAAA
This 430-nucleotide ribosomal RNA is filed under the name Bacillus sp. K7-123. RNAcentral describes it as "bacterial SSU rRNA". It matches the Rfam family "Bacterial small subunit ribosomal RNA", at positions 9 to 429 of the family's 1533-position model. Lineage: Bacteria; Bacillati; Bacillota; Bacilli; Caryophanales; Bacillaceae. The record is from RNAcentral.